Molecule: ribosomal RNA, 446 nt
Filed under: bacterium
Lineage: Bacteria
Also listed under: 1 other name
Description: bacterial SSU rRNA
Rfam family: Bacterial small subunit ribosomal RNA
Source: RNAcentral
CUGACGAGGGGCGGACGGGUUAGUAAUGUCUGGGAAACUGCCUGAUGGAGGGGGAUAACUACUGGAAACGGUAGCUAAUACCGCAUAACGUCGCAAGACCAAAGAGGGGGACCUUCGGGCCUCUUGCCAUCUGGAUGUGCCCAGAUGGGAUUAGCUAGUAGGUGGGGUAACGGGCUCACCUAGGCGACGAUCCCUAGCUGGUCUGAGAGGAUGACCAGCCACACUGGAACUGAGACACGGUUCCAGACUCCUACGGAAGGGCAAGCAGUGGGGGGAAUAAUUGCACAAUGGGCGCAAGGCCUGAUGCAGCCAUGCCGCGUGUAUUGAAAGAAGGCCUUCGGGUUGGAAAAAGUACUUUUCAGCGGGGAGGAAGGGAGUAAAAGUUAAUACCUUUGCUCAUUGGACGGUACCGCAGAAGAAGCACCGGCUAACUCCGUGCCAGCAGC